This 492-nucleotide ribosomal RNA is filed under the name uncultured bacterium. RNAcentral's name for it is "partial 16S ribosomal RNA". It matches the Rfam family "Bacterial small subunit ribosomal RNA", at positions 29 to 507 of the family's 1533-position model. The record is from RNAcentral.
AGUGAACGCUGGCGGUAGGCCUAGCACAUGCAAGUCGAACGGCAGCACAGUAAGAGCUUGCUCUUACGGGUGGCGAGUGGCGGACGGGUGAGGAAUACAUCGGAAUCUACUUUUUCGUGGGGGAUAACGUAGGGAAACUUACGCUAAUACCGCAUACGACCUACGGGUAAAAGCAGGGGAUCUUCGGACCUUGCGCGAUUGAAUGAGCCGAUGUCGGAUUAGCUAGUUGGCGGGGUAAAGGCCCACCAAGGCGACGAUCCGUAGCUGGUCUGAGAGGAUGAUCAGCCACACUGGAACUGAGACACGGUCCAGACUCCUACGGGAGGCAGCAGUGGGGAAUAUUGGACAAAGGGCGCAAGCCUGAUCCAGCCAUACCGCGUGGGUGAAGAAGGCCUUCGGGUUGUAAAGCCCUUUUGUUGGGAAAGAAAAGCAGCAGGUUAAUACCCCGCUGUUCUGACGGUACCCAAAGAAUAAGCACCGGCUAACUUCGUG